UGCGGCAAAGGAACCUCUUUCCUUGCCGUGGCUAACCCUUGUUCCUCCUCUUCAAUUAUCACUUCCUCCACUUUGUUUGGGGCUGAUUUGGAUGGUGGUGGGGCUGUUCCAACUUGUUUCCCACUUCUUAACAUGAUUGCUUUGGCAGAUUCAAAGCCUCCUUUUGGAUUUGCAAUGGUUGAGCUAGGCAACCUGCCUUGCUCUCGAAACUGCCCCAUGAACUCGG
RNAcentral lists this long non-coding RNA (226 nucleotides) under Malus domestica (apple). RNAcentral's name for it is "long non-coding RNA (MDOM_LNC020653)". Lineage: Eukaryota; Viridiplantae; Streptophyta; Magnoliopsida; Rosales; Rosaceae. The record is from RNAcentral.